UAAAAAGGAAGAAAGAAGAAAAGGGGCAAGUCACUCCUAGGGGCUGCACUAAACCUAACAUAAAAGAAUAAGCAUGAUUGAGUCAAAAACCUUUCUCUUAACCAUGGUAGGUGAAAGGAAACAAGGAAAGGAGAGGACGACCUUGGUGCAUGUACUCUAUACUGUGAUACUUCAGCUUAGGAGUCUAGGGGGGGCUGAUUAAGUGGUACUUAGGCUCAAAGGAAAAAGGAAC
This 232-nucleotide long non-coding RNA is filed under the name Manihot esculenta (cassava). RNAcentral's name for it is "long non-coding RNA (MESC_LNC003205)". Lineage: Eukaryota; Viridiplantae; Streptophyta; Magnoliopsida; Malpighiales; Euphorbiaceae. The record is from RNAcentral.